Manis pentadactyla (Chinese pangolin) is the source of this 438-nucleotide long non-coding RNA. RefSeq lists it as uncharacterized. NCBI's taxonomy places the organism in Eukaryota, Metazoa, Chordata, Mammalia, Pholidota, Manidae. The record is from RefSeq and is a predicted model, not a curated record. The transcript has 3 exons.
CCUCUAUGAGGACAUGUUCUCUGCAUCCACAGAAGCCCUUUUCAAACAUUACUGAGAAGACUGAUAAGAAGAAAAAGCAUCCUCUGAUGGGUUCUCAGAAAGAAAGCAUUCCAUGUAACUACAGGGCAAUGGUGCUCUGAUUACCACAGGCCCAGCUGACAGAGAGGUUGCCAGGCAGCAUUUGCUCUGCUGAGAGGCGUGGUGGAAUGAAGCAGCCAUGUGUGGAGCCCAGUGAACUCACCUGGAUGGUACCACCAGAGCUACGCCCGGCCCUCUGUUGCUGAGAACAGCCUUUUGUGCCCUCUGACUGGGAGAGGAAGGCCCUGGCAUGGUGGGCCUGUGGAUCACAGUGCCCCAGGGGCCUCGCUCAGCAAUAGGCAGCUGGCUGUGUCCUUUCCCACCUCUGACAGAGGGUGAGGUUGAAGGAGUAGAGACCUG